Molecule: ribosomal RNA, 225 nt
Filed under: uncultured bacterium
Lineage: Bacteria
Description: partial 16S ribosomal RNA
Rfam family: Bacterial small subunit ribosomal RNA
Source: RNAcentral
UACAGAGGUCUCAAGCGUUGUUCGGAUUCAUUGGGCGUAAAGGGUGCGUAGGUGGCGCUGUAAGUCGGGUGUGAAAUUUCGGAGCUUAACUCCGAAACUGCAUUCGAUACUGCGGUGCUUGAGGACUGGAGAGGCGAGUGGAAUUCCCGGUGUAGCGGUGAAAUGCGCAGAUAUCGGGAGGAACACCAAUGGCGAAGGCAGCUCGCUGGGACGGUACUGACGCUG